This 72-nucleotide transfer RNA is filed under the name Flavobacteriaceae bacterium. Its description in RNAcentral is "tRNA-Thr". It matches the Rfam family "tRNA". Rfam says of the family: Transfer RNA (tRNA) molecules are approximately 80 nucleotides in length. The record is from RNAcentral. RNAcentral also lists the same sequence under 1 other name. Lineage: Bacteria; Pseudomonadati; Bacteroidota; Flavobacteriia; Flavobacteriales; Flavobacteriaceae.
GCCGGUGUAGCUCAGGGGUAGAGCGUUUCCUUGGUAAGGAAAAGGUCUCCAGUUCAAAUCUGGACAUUGGCU